RNAcentral lists this non-coding RNA (30 nucleotides) under Rattus norvegicus (Norway rat). The record is from RNAcentral. Lineage: Eukaryota; Metazoa; Chordata; Mammalia; Rodentia; Muridae.
UGUACACAACACGCGGUUAGGUCUUACUGC